CCUACGGGAGGCAGCAGUGGGGGAUAUUGCACAAUGGGGGAAACCCUGAUGCAGCGACGCCGCGUGAGUGAAGAAGCGCCUCGGCGCGUAAAGCUCUGUUAGCAGGAACGAUAAUGACGGCACCUGAAGAAGAAGCCACGGCUAAUUACUAGCCAGCAGCCGCGGUAAUACGGAGGGGGCAAGCGUUAUCCGGAUUUACUGGGGGUAAAGGGAUCGGGGUCGGCGGGGCAAGUCUGGAGUGAAAGGCCGGGGCCCAACCCCGGGUCCGCUCUGGAAACUGCCCGGCUUGAGUGCGGGAGAGGUAAGCGGAAUUCCGUGUGUAGCGGUGAAAUGCGUAGAGAUUAGGAGGAACACCAGCGGCGAAGGCGGCUUACUGGACCGUAACUGACGUUGAGGCUCGAAAGCGUGGGGAGCAAACAGGAUUAGAUACCCCUGUAGUC
This 440-nucleotide ribosomal RNA is filed under the name uncultured bacterium. RNAcentral describes it as "partial 16S ribosomal RNA". It matches the Rfam family "Bacterial small subunit ribosomal RNA", at positions 338 to 795 of the family's 1533-position model. The record is from RNAcentral.